UGCAAUCCAAAUUGCUAUCGAAUUUCAUUCAAACUUUAUUCUGUAUUCAACGAACGGAUACCUCCAUAAUCCCCAAUCGAAAUAUCCCUCGUUUCCCACGCUUCGAAUUUGAGCAUACCCCCUAGCAGUUUUGCUACUUUUGCCUAUUAUAGCUGCUGUCCCUUUCUCCUUCGAAUCCCAAUUUUCCACCAGGUGUUUGUUUCCAAUUUUUCUCAAGGCACGCGUCCAUUGGGUUGAACAUUUUUUUCCUCGUUAAAGGCGGCGUUUUCUGCCACCUUUUUUCUGGUAUGUGCUGAAUCUCCCCGUCUGUUUGAUUUUGUUGGUAAAUUCUUAUCGGAAUUUUGGCUUCUCUUUUUUUUGCCCCCUCAAAAUUCUCAUGGGUGAUUGAUUAAUAUGUCGUUUUGAAAUAAAUACCUUAUUCUGUGCAGAUUUUUGGCUAUUGCAAGGGCAUCUAGGUAGGCAUUGGAUCCUUUUAUUUUCUUGGGAAGGGUGGUUGGGUUUGUUGGACGAAAGGAUCAAAUGCUGUUUUCUGAUUAAAAACUUUACGUUUAUUAUAAAACCUUUGUCUGAAAAUAUGGGUUAAUUGAUUGGAACAUUUGGUGUUUUAAUGUGUGCGAAAUUUGCAAGUUUCAGAGGGUUUUGAUGAUAUCUUGUAGUGAAUCUCUCUAUAGGCGCUUGUCGCACUAGUCUAUUGGUGAAGUUCUUUAUACAGUACAUGGGCUGUUUUAAUUCUAAGGCAAGAAGGCAGUUUCCUGGACAUGAAGACCCCAUUUUGCUUGCUUCCCAAACAGCUUGUAAGCUUGUUUCUUUUGUUUUUUAAUUGUUAAUUUUGGAUAAAUGUUGAAUCUCUUUCAUUUCUAAUUCAGAAAGACUUGGUGUUUUAGGUUCAUGAUAAAACGUGAGUUUGCCAUGCUAACACACAAGUAAAGUAAUUUUUAGCAAGGAUAUAGAUUUUAUCUGGGCGGGAGUGCAAAUGUUACGAAAUUGAUUUAAAGCAAGACAUUUGCUGAUUUACUUAGUUUAUCAAGUCGAAAUAAUGUAUUUUCUUAGAUAUGAGGCAUGGGUAGCUGAGGUUGUCUAUAGUUGGUUUGUCAUGUGUCAUUCUUUUUCUGGCUCGGAUCUUGGAUGGAAAUUGACUUUAUAUGAAUAAACGAAUUGUUUGAUGGCCUCUUUUUUGUUACUCUCUCUCUCAUCUUGGGUUUUGCAUGAUCUAAAGAUAUAUUUCUUUGUUCUAGCUUUCUUCAUUCUUCGUUUUUAACUUAACUUUCUAUUUUUUUUUUCUUUUUUCCUUUUUUAAGUUUUGAAAAUGCUUCUGUUUGUGUCUAUAUAUAGUUGAAAAUUGCAGAGAUAAUUUAUGCGCUACCCUACUUUUUCAUUUAAUUUUGCAUAUAAAAUGCACCAAGCCAUUGAGGCAGUCAUUUAUUUGCUUAUCAUUCAGGAUUGUUGUUUUAUUUGCGUUUUUUGUGAUGUUGUUGAUUAUGUAUUAAUAAAAAAACUAAUAAACCUGUUCUUUCUUUUGCAGUUAGUGUUAGUGAAGUUGAAGCACUAUAUGAAUUGUAUAAGAGCAUUAGUGGCUCUGUGAUUGAUGAUGGCCUAAUAAAUAAGGUGAUUUUCACUGAACAUCAACCAAGCUCAAGCUGCCUUGUUCAUUUCAUGUGAUGUUUCACUGUAAUUUUUGGUUAUCAAGCUUCUUGUUUCUGGCAUUUCUUUUAUCAUGAGAAUAUAUUGCACAUUGGUUUUUGGAAGAUUUCGUGACUCUAUGACUUACAUGAAGUAAAUGCAAUUGCAAUACUCUCUUGCAAUUUUUCC
This 1809-nucleotide long non-coding RNA is filed under the name Olea europaea subsp. europaea. Lineage: Eukaryota; Viridiplantae; Streptophyta; Magnoliopsida; Lamiales; Oleaceae. The record is from RNAcentral.